AGAACGAACGCUGGCGGCGUGGAUAAGACAUGCAAGUCGAACGCGAUUUUAUGGGUAGUAAUACUCGUAAAAUUGAGUGGCGAACGGGUGCGUAACACGUGAGUAAUCUGCCGGGAAGUGGGGGAUAGCUCGCCGAAAGGCGAAUUAAUACCGCAUAUGGCCAUUCUCUAAUUGGAGGAAAAGCCAAAGCAGCAAUGCGCUUCCUGAUGAACUCGCGGCCUAUCAGCUAGAUGGCGGGGUAACGGCCCACCAUGGCUAUGACGGGUAGCUGGUCUGAGAGGACGACCAGCCACACUGGAACUGAGACACGGUCCAGACACCUACGGGUGGCAGCAGUCGAGAAUUUUUCACAAUGGGGGAAACCCUGAUGGAGCGACGCCGCGUGGAGGAUGAAGGCCUUCGGGUUGUAAACUCCUGUCAUGCGGGAACAAGAAGUGAUAGUACCGCAAGAGGAAGAGACGGCUAACUCUGUGCCAGCAGCCG
RNAcentral lists this ribosomal RNA (483 nucleotides) under uncultured bacterium. Its description in RNAcentral is "SSU rRNA". It matches the Rfam family "Bacterial small subunit ribosomal RNA", at positions 26 to 517 of the family's 1533-position model. The record is from RNAcentral.